GAUGAACGCUGGCGGCGUGCUUAACACAUGCAAGUCGAACGGAAACAGGAUGAAGCCUAGCGAUUCCUGUUUUAGUGGCGGACGGGUGAGUAACGCGUGGGUAACCUGCCUUACACUGGGGGAUAACAAUUAGAAAUAGCUGCUAAUACCGCAUAAGCGCACAGGGCCGCAUGGCCUGGUGUGAAAAACUCCGGUGGUGUAAGAUGGACCCGCGUCUGAUUAGCUAGUUGGUGAGGUAACGGCCCACCAAGGCGACGAUCAGUAGCCGGCCUGAGAGGGUGAACGGCCACAUUGGGACUGAUACACGGCCCAAACUACUACGGGAGGCAGCAGUGGGGAAUAUUGCACAAUGGGGGAAACCCUGAUGCAGCGACGCCGCGUGAGUGAAGAAGUAUUUCGGUAUGUAAAGCUCUAUCAGCAAGGAAGAAAAUGACGGUACUUGACUAAGAAGCCCCGGCUAACUACGUGCCAGCAGCCGCAGUAA
Molecule: ribosomal RNA, 484 nt
Filed under: uncultured bacterium
Lineage: Bacteria
Description: partial 16S ribosomal RNA
Rfam family: Bacterial small subunit ribosomal RNA
Source: RNAcentral